CCCCUCCGACAAAAAGUUUCGUCUCGAAACUAUAUCGAAACCAAUAUAUCAAACCUUGUACAACAAUAUAUGACACUUUUGAAAUUUGGGCAUUCUAGAUAGGUAUGCGGCAAACGCCUCUAUACCAUAUAGCAAUGACCAAAAUUCAAGACAACCAAUAGGAUUCACAAACAAAUAACAAAACAAAAAAAUAUCAAAAAGUUAAAUAAAAUUAAAAAAAUCUUCCCUCAUUCCUUUGAAUUGCCGUUGACAAACGAUCAAUCCAAAUUCUUGCCAAAUCAAAUGUAGGAUGUACCCCAUCCACUAAUCUGUUAUACAAAUAUCUAAAUUUUCCACUCUUACAUUUAUGUACAGGAGAAUGAAA
Molecule: long non-coding RNA, 364 nt
Filed under: Mytilus galloprovincialis (Mediterranean mussel)
Lineage: Eukaryota; Metazoa; Mollusca; Bivalvia; Mytilida; Mytilidae
Source: RNAcentral